Molecule: long non-coding RNA, 329 nt
Organism: Myotis davidii
Lineage: Eukaryota; Metazoa; Chordata; Mammalia; Chiroptera; Vespertilionidae
Exons: 3
Source: RefSeq, a predicted model, not a curated record
UAUGGCACCCAUAGGAGACACUGAAGAUGCCCAGCUUCAAGCAUUUAAGGAGAGCAAAUCUGCUGCAGUUCAGACGCCUGUCUUCUCCUCUACAGCCAGACGUUCUCCUUCCCCCUGGAAACUGCCAAACUGCCAAACUGCCAAACUGCCAUACUGCCAUCCCUGCUCUGCCUUUGCGCCCAGACUGUUAAGAGGCCUCUCUUUGAGUCAAGAGACCGAGCUCCUUGCCGCGGCGUAUUGGACGACCUCCGUGUGUCUCUGUCAGCGAGUGUCUCCAGGUGGCCUGCCAAGGACUGAAACCCAUCAGCUCUCUGCAGAACCAUGGGAGG